Molecule: long non-coding RNA, 243 nt
Organism: Aedes aegypti (yellow fever mosquito)
Lineage: Eukaryota; Metazoa; Arthropoda; Insecta; Diptera; Culicidae
Exons: 3
Source: RefSeq, a predicted model, not a curated record
GAACGUUUGGACGUACCCCCGGAGACACGCGGGCUUCGGUUUCUCUUUUUGUCCUUUUUUGUGCGUGUGUUUUGCAACUGUGUGGUGUUCAGUCAGAGAAGAUGACCCAUCGCUGCAAGCCUGAACGAUUGGAACACCCAGACCAUCCUGCGUCGUUCAGUAAGAUCGAUACGACUCCGGUGCCACCGAUUCGGUUCCUUCUAUCACUCCACAUGAGAGCCGCCGAGUUCACUUUCUGACCUC